CAGUAGCCGCGGUAAUACAGAGGGUGCGAGCGUUAAUCGGAUUUACUGGGCGUAAAGCGCACGUAGGCGGACAUUUAAGUCAGGGGUGAAAUCCCGGGGCUCAACCCCGGAACUGCCUUUGAUACUGGGUGUCUAGAGUAUGGAAGAGGUGAGUGGAAUUCCGAGUGUAGAGGUGAAAUUCGUAGAUAUUCGGAGGAACACCAGUGGCGAAGGCGGCUCACUGGUCCAUUACUGACGCUGAGGUGCGAAAGCGUGGGGAGCAAACAGGAUUAGAUACCCCAGUAGUCCCUGUCUCUUAUAC
RNAcentral lists this ribosomal RNA (301 nucleotides) under uncultured bacterium. RNAcentral describes it as "partial 16S ribosomal RNA". It matches the Rfam family "Bacterial small subunit ribosomal RNA", at positions 509 to 807 of the family's 1533-position model. The record is from RNAcentral.